Molecule: ribosomal RNA, 197 nt
Filed under: uncultured bacterium
Lineage: Bacteria
Description: partial 16S ribosomal RNA
Rfam family: Bacterial small subunit ribosomal RNA
Source: RNAcentral
ACGCUCGACACCUACGGGAGGCAGCAGUGGGGAAUAUUGCACAAUGGGGGAAACCCUGAUGCAGCGACGCCGCGUGGAGGAAGAAGGUCUUCGGAUUGUAAACUCCUGUUGUUGGGGAAAAAGAGGAUGGUACCCAACAAGGAAGUGACGGCUAACUACGUGACAGCAGCCGCGGUAAUCUGAGCGGGCUGGCAAGC